AUACACGCUGUUAGCUGAGCAAAAGAGAGAUUUUCUUUUGUUACUGUACAAAUUAUUUAAGCCAAAAUAAAAGCACUAGAGUAAUAAAGACGAUAAAGCAAGCAUUCUAUCUGAAUCAAAAGGACAUAAAAAUGUAUUAUCAAGAUCGUUGAUCAAGUAUCGAACCAAUUGUUAGUUAAUGCCUAAAUAUUCGGUCCAUGAAUUGCAGACUGCUCGACAUUGCUAUCCUUUUGAUUCAAUACUUGAUCAAGUCUUGAUAUAUUUUUAUGUCCUUUAGAUUCAGAGAUCUAAAAUAUAGCUCUCUGAAUCAAAAGGACGUGAAAAGUGGGGUUCACUAAAUUGAUUAGAGAGAAGCAAAGAACUAAAAUAUAGCCAGAGACUUGUUCAAAGUAAUGAAAAGACUUUUCCAAGUCUUUGGCAUCAAGUAUUCCAUAUCCUAUGACUGCACAGCAAUUUAAUUGCCAGAAUUUAGAUGCUAAAAAAAGCACAAACAGAACUAAAACGAUGAUGUUCCACCCUUUAUACUUGUUCUUCUUCAUCUGUCUUAAAGAUGGUAAUCGAGAGAGACAUAAUAAGAUUGGUCAGCGCUGACUUAUGUAAAUGAUCCACCGCCGCGGAAGAAGAAAAACGGCGCUGUUGUAACUUACAGUGUGGUGGGGAGUGUUAUCGGCGUGGUUGUGGUGGUUGCAGCCGUGACUUUCUUGAUUCUACGGCGGCGGCAGCGGAAGUCAACUAGGGGAUCCCUGCGUUGUGAUACCUGCAGAUACUUGUCAAUCGGCUAGAUCACCCGCAACUUCGGCGACAGCUUCAUCAUCGGCAGGGGAGGCUUCGGCAACGUCUACAAAGGCCUCAUCGACAACGCGGCAACAACAGUAGCAAUCAAAAGGCUCAACUCCACCUCCAACCAAGGCGCUCACGAGUUACUUACCGAGAUCGACAUGCUCUUCAAGCUUCGCCACCUCCACUUGGUCUCCCUCAUAGGCUACUGCGACGACAACGGCGAGAUGAUCCUGGUACACGACUACAUGGCCCAUGGCACCCUCCAUGACCACAUCUGCAACUCCAUCAACUCACCCUUAAUGUGGAAGCAAUGCCUUCAAAUCUGCCUAGGCGCUGCCAAGGGACUGGACUACCUCCACACUGGCACCAAACACGCCAUCAUCCACCGCGACGUUAAGUCCACCAACAUCCUACUUGACGGGAAAUGGGUGGCGAAAAUAUCAGAUUUUGGACUGUCAUUACAAUAUCCAGCACAAGAAGUUGAAAAAGAUGGAAAUGCUGCUUUUUUGCUCAUCUCUGUAUGUUCACAAUGUGAAAUUGAAUUAGAAAUUUCGUUGUAUCUUCCACUUGACUUGAAACUAAGGAAUUGUAUUCCGUGUUCAACAAUCGCUUUGCAAUAAAACAAGUUAAUAAAAA
Molecule: long non-coding RNA, 1416 nt
Organism: Salvia splendens (bonfire salvia)
Lineage: Eukaryota; Viridiplantae; Streptophyta; Magnoliopsida; Lamiales; Lamiaceae
Exons: 2
Source: RefSeq, a predicted model, not a curated record